Molecule: long non-coding RNA, 1769 nt
Organism: Mustela lutreola (European mink)
Lineage: Eukaryota; Metazoa; Chordata; Mammalia; Carnivora; Mustelidae
Exons: 3
Source: RefSeq, a predicted model, not a curated record
UGCAGGAAGAGGGCAAGGGGCGCGUGUCCUGGGACCUCAGCCUGGUCGGACGCCCCCAAAGCACACAGACGGCUCAUCGGCCUGGGGGCAGGUGCGCUGCCCGCUGCCUGGGGCCCAUGGGACACUUGGACUCGGGUGUCUGCUGGAGACCAAGCCCCCAGCAGGGCGGGAUGGGGUCUGCCUGUCUGCUGUUCCGCGGCCGACACCCGCUGUGGGAUGCCAGCCACAGACGGAAGGAUCAGCAGGAGAGGCAGGGAGGGUGAGUUUUGAGGCAGGAGGAAUCCCGGGUCUCGUCAGCCAUCAGUUCCAGAACACCGAGGCCCGGAGGCUGCUGGCUAAUCAGCUGACCCGGGGCCACCUGACGUCCGGCUCGAACCCGCCCACAUUCGUGGAGGUCACCUUGCGACACAUUUCCCUGUGGUGCCUUUUCUGAAUAAUGCUGGGGUCUCGUGGAUUCCCAGGAGCAGCUGCCUCUAUACCGUGACUUUAAAGCUCACAUGUCACUGCAGGGACCUUUUAAAUGUGGAGGAAAGUUGAUGGUCAGCCUUUCAGAAACCUCCCUGUCCUUAAGAUGACAGGCUUGCAAGAUCACACAGGACCGCUGCCGGUAUAAAGAUAAGAUCAUUGCUCCAGGCUUGCGUUUGAUAAACCGUCUGCGGUCUGAAAGCCCUGUCUCUGAAGACUCUUCUCCAUGGCUUGUCCUGCCUUUCUCCCAUCACGUCAGUGACCAUCCGGUUCUCGGUUCUGGAAGGACGGCAGCUUGGCCCAGCCUGGAUGGCUGCAGGAGCCCAGCCUCCUAAACAGUGGCCUCUCGAUUAGCCUAGGUUGAAAACUGAAUACGUUUACAAAAAAAAAAAAAAAAAAAGGGGAGGGAACGGCUAGUACCUAAUUUGGGGACCCUAGAAGUGAGGUAGAGAAGUCUAGUGCAGACCUUGACUCUGAGAGCCGAGAGGGACCGCCAGCGCCCUCGCACUGGGACUGUGGUGUGUGCGACCGCCAGCAUCGCUCAUCUACAGAGGGAAGCAGUGUGGCUCCGAGGACGGAGAAGCCCAUGGGCUGAGCCUCAGCACCUCCAAGACCUGAGAGUGACCGGCUGUUAUUCCGUCCUGCUGGCCAUCUCUGUGGCGAUAAGGACUGGGUUGUUUUGGGAUUCCUCGCCUUGGAUUGAGUCCUGCGUACCAUCCCAUGCUGGUGGAGCACUCAGUUGCCCUGGAGUUUCUGUCCUGGUGGUCUGAGAGAUGGGAAGUUCUCCUGCCGGUCAUUUCCAUCUGUGGUUGGCUUGUUUUGUGAAAGUUGCACACUUGCUGGAUAGGAGAAGGGAGCUGCUUCCGCAGAUCCUCAGGCCUGGCAAUCCUCUUACAUUCACCAGUGGAAGUGGGUUUGACAACUGCUUCUAGGCUCAGGUUCCCAGUGUCGGCCAUGGAGACCAACGGGUGGCCCUUCCUGAUGGAGACCAGCGGGUUCCCCUUCCUGAUGGAGACCGACAGAUGCCCCUUCCUGAUGGAGACCAGCAGGUUCCCCUUCACGCUGGAGACCAGCAGGUGGCCCUUCCUGAUGGAGACCAGCAGGUACCUCUUCACGCAGGAGACCAACGGGUACCUCCUCUCCAUGGAGACCAGUGUGUGCCCAUUUGAAGAUCUGGUGACGAUGCUAUGAGAUGAACUGGAUGUCAGCCCCAUUCACCUGUGUGGCUGGCACCUUUAAGGCACAGCCUAGCUGGGUCUACACAGCAGGUUUGGUUGUAUUGCCGUGGAAGAGUAGGGGCAUGG